This is a long non-coding RNA of Anas platyrhynchos (mallard), 3486 nucleotides long. RefSeq lists it as uncharacterized. NCBI's taxonomy places the organism in Eukaryota, Metazoa, Chordata, Aves, Anseriformes, Anatidae. The record is from RefSeq and is a predicted model, not a curated record.
UCAGCAGGGUCUAGGGUAAUUGAUGUCAGGUGAAUAGGAAACUCCCCAGGAUAAUGUCAGUGCCAGAGGGAGUGGUGAUUAGUGGCGAUAAAUGCUGGUGUGAUCUGCAUCUGAUGAAGGCAGAGCUGAAAUGUUUGUGGGGCUGGGCCUAGCUGAGAAUAACAAAAGGUUUUCUGUUCCAAGCUGAGAAUAAAAAGAUUUAAAAUCAGAAUACGUGAAAACAGUUACAAAUACGAUUGUAAAGAUUCUGUUACAUCCCUGUAAACCUCAUUGGGAGCCCCAAAUGGAAAGCACUGCAGGAAAAUUUAAGGAAAAGACUGCUCAGGAAACCAGAUUUUUGAUGUGUUUUAUUCAACAGAUCUUUUCAUGGAAGUCAUCUGGAAUUUUAUUUCACCUCUGUAGAGUAACAUUUAUACCAACUUGAAGAAGAUGAAGCAAAAGGGAGAGAAAGAACCUGGUCCGAUAUUUAAAACCAGUGUCUUAAAGUGGAUGAACUUGGACAAGGCUGAAAGAGCAGACUGGUUACCUGGAUGAGAAGACUGGAAAGACAGAAACUAAUAAGGAGAAAAGAAGGCAGAGAAACCCACAUAAUCAGACGUGAAAUGAAGACAUUUCAAGACUUGCCAUAGCAAUCUUUCUCCAAAAAUGAAUGGACUUGAGGCAUCUUCUUGUUGAAGUGAAACAAUCACGAAGUAUUGUGGGGUUUAGACAGUCACAAAGUAUUGUGGAAUGCUUAUUGAAUGCUAAGAUGGGAAGAGACAUGUGGAUGGAAACCGAACUCCACUGACUGGAAAAUCACUGCACAGACUCCCUAGUGUUUUCAAAUGUAUAUUGUGCAACACAAGACUACAGUAGAUCACAGAUAUUUCACCUGAAAUAUCUCUGAAAAAAAGCCCUUCCUCCCUUCCUUCCUUCCAAAAAAGUUUGUUGGGACAUACUUUUCCAAGACCAAAGAAUUUCCAAGGUACUUUGUGCUGUCUUAGGAUGUUCAUUUCUCUAUUUGGCACAUGUAGGACAUAUAGGACAAAAUGCUAUCUGUAAAUUCUAGUUGUUUGCAUUACCAAAGGUAGUAGACACUUGUUUAUACUUGAAGAAGCCAAGACUUGAUGUUCCUUGAAAGUCUUGAAUCCCAGACAGCAUCAAGAAUAAAAUCAAGGUUCUUGUUCAAAUGCAGCCCUGCAAAGGGGCUGUAACUCACAGUCCUUUACACCUCCACAGUACUGUAUCCACUGAAUUUGGCUUUCUUAGAACAGAAAUGGACAGAUUAUAGAAAAUUCUGCCUUCAUCUGCUAUGCAGUGGUCAAGCAAGCUGGCAGAAAGUGCUACUCUGGCAUAACCUCAUUUACCAUCCUGAUCAGUCUCUGGUUUAAGGCACAAUCUAUUUUAAAAACAUAGUAUUCCUGUAACUUUCCUCACUAGUUCCCAUUUCUAUUCAGUCCACUUACAGGGUUCAGAAAAAGCCCAAAAAUUGGCAUUGUGGCCUAGGUUUGUCUGUUAUAACCAGAGAGGAAUGUCUUGAACUUAAUAUGUUUGGUUUGGGAGUUCUGUUUUUGUCCGCUAUAACCAAUUGUCCAUGUCCAUCAUAAGUGUAGUGUGUACUAUAUAAUUUAACAGCAGUGGUUAGUACAGCAAAAGCCAACUGUUGAGGCUGGGUGGGAAACCUGAGAUAUUUUGUUAACCAAAUAUGUCCUAAAAUACUCUUAAUUUUUUUGAGAAACUAUCAAUCUCUGCAUUCUUGGCUAAGUGCUGUUGUUGAAAUUUUAAAAUGGUCUGUUCAUCUGUAAGCUUCACCAAGAGAAGAAAAAAAAAAUAUUUUUUUAUUUAUUCUUCCAAACUAUCAAAUGUUUUAUGUAGUAAGCAGAACCCUGCCAUUCUUGAGCUUGAGGAAUGAAAUGGGAGGGGAGCAGACCCGAUUAAUUUGGAAGAGAGUGUAAGUUUUUAAAAUUUGAAAUAUAAAAAUAUCUUGUAUCUUAGAUAUGGAGAGCAAAUACAUAAGACAAAGCUUUCUCAUCACAGUUAAAGUACAUUAUUUUUAACAGCCUGGAAAUUUAAGGAUGUCAGUAAAAUUCUCAGUUUCUUAAUUUAUUAAGCCUUGUAGCCUAGAACAGAAAGGAAUGGAAUAGGGAUUAAUUUAAAGUACAGUAUACUUUACCCUUUUAAAUGUAGAUGAUCUUUAAAAAAUGAAAAUGAACUUGGCUUGAGCUGAAUCUAAAUGAACAUUCUUGCUUCUGUAACAAGAAAUAUAAUUUGUUUUAAAAAAAAAAAUCUUGAGGGGGAAAAGGGGGAGGGGAGAGCAAACUGAGGAAAAAAAUGUAUAUUUUUUUCCUUCUAUAAACAAAACAUUUUAAUUUUACACUUCCACAUUUCCAUUAAAAGCAAAGCUAGAUAAAUACCAGACUUGCACACCAUUCAUACAAUUAGCAGGUGAUGCAGUCCGUCUUAUAGCCAAGUAACUCAGUGGCUGGGGAACUUGCCCACAGGGUGGGUGGAAAAAGGCUCACCUCUGCCAAUGGAGAACCCAACCCAUAUCUUCAUCUUCCAAGAAAUAUCCUGGGGGAAGAAUGAUAUGUUUUUUAAUUCUUUGCAGAGCAGUCCCAAUUUGCUUGCAAUACAGUAUUUGUUUUACUGAGGAUUCUCCCACUUUUUAUAAAUAAGUGAUUUAAUGAUUGUGUUUUUCUUGACUCUAACCUGGCAUCCUGAGAGAGUCUUUGUCCUCUGGAGUCCAUUGCUGAUCCUCGCUGGACUUGAUAGGCUGUGCAUGGUGUGGCUAGUUCCAUUUGGAGAGUGUCAUUGGUGUGCCCCCAUCUUAGGGAGCAAGACUAAGAUGGGGUAGAGGGAGGGGAGCAACUUGCACAAACUUUACAGCUUUUGUAACAUAUCCAGGCAUCUACAUGAACCAAGCAAUUGUGGAACAAAAGAGCAAGCCUCAGGCACAAUCCCUCCAUGGGUGGUAGCCUGUGUGUUUGGCAGAGUGAGGAACUGUGAGAUAGCUUAUAAGAGAGCUCUGCUGUUCAGGGGCCGUUAACCAAUCCUUAUGUAAACUCUUCCUGAAAGCUCACUUCCACCAUACUGAGACAAAAAAAGCAGUGUCUUUUCUGAUCCUCUGGUAAGCUGCACAUAAGACUUUUCAGUUAUUUCUUCCUGUUUUGCUGCCUUUGCUUGUUGUAGGUAAGGUAAAAUGGAUUGCAGGCAACCUGGGACAGGGGACUGACAUUUUUCUUCUUUCUAAGUCUCUACUGUGAAUGGAACAAGACUCCUUUUCUUGCUGCAAAAAUGCAGUUUCUUGAUGUGAGGUGUUAUGCAAGUUACUUUAAUUACUUGGCCUGAGAGCCCAGGGACCUCUUCUGAACUACAGUACCGGUUCUUGCAGGCAGCAUAAAGUCAGACUUGCUCAGCAGUGAAAGCACAGCUUCAGAACCACAAAUUCUGCCCCUAUCCUGACUAAAAUAUAUAUUAAAAAAAAUGCUGCAGUAAGCUCCAGCCUGU